GAUUAGGUAAAUAUACAUUUUGUAUAUGCAAAAUAAUAGGAUAAAAUUCUCAAUUUUCAGAUAAAGAGCGCCACAUUUUUAUUUCAACCCAAUAUUUGCAAGUGCAUUUUCCCUCAACACCAUUCCAUGCCCUCAGGCUUCUGGAGUUCAAUCCCAGCCAGAGAGUUUUUCUUGGCAGACCUUUCAAGAUCUCCUGCACGCUGCUGAUUGUAGCACAGCUUAAUGGAUAGCCACACUACGUAAAUGCUGUUUAGUGUAAAUCCUGUAAGGUUAACUUGUUUUCUGCUGGGGUAAUGACAGUCCUUCCAGCACACGGCAUAGAUGAGGUGGUGAGCUUAGGCAAGCCUGUAGUCCUCAGCAGACAGCUAAUGUGAUGUUCAUUAGCAUUAGGCAUAGUCUGUUCUGCCAAAUGAAAUGUCAAAAGUCUGGAAUUUUCAGUUCCCAACUCGUGUAAAGAACUGAGUAGCUGCAUUUUAAAACAGGAUUAGGCAUUUAUCUUCAGAUUUAUCACCAGAGUCACAGUUUCAUUAGUCAAAACCAAACUUCCUUCAAAGUGCAAGUCAACUGUGUUACUCAGACGUGGGAAAGUCUCUUGUGAAUUGCUGUCCAUAAUUUACACUGCAUCACAUUCCUUACAGCUAACAUCAGUCACUGUCACAACACACAUAUCAGACCAUUGGUUUGACCCUUUAGUCUGGCGUAUUACGCCGAUGCCCGUCGGCCCCCGCCAAAAACCCGCACGCUCGCGGUGCUGCUGACCCCACAGCCCGUGUGCACGGCACCGGAACCGCCGCGGAAAAUCCCGUCGGGGGGCGCCGGCGUUGGGGACCAUUCAGGCAGUGUAGAAAAAACAGACACGGGUCCUCGAAUGCCGACGUCCUCUUUUUCGCGCCAUCUCGAGAAGGUCAAGCGAAUCCGCGACAAGCCACUCCCAAGAUGGCGGCCGCGGGCGGCGGGCUGCAGUACCGCCCUCUGCCCACAGGGCGGCAGCACUGCCGCCCGCCACCGCCGGGGGCCGCCGCUCGCCUCGGGGCCGCGGGCGGGGCCGGCGGCAGAAAAGAACGGGCGCGAUGCCCUCCGGAACCUGCCCUGCAGCAAAUGCCCCAAAACAUCCCGCGCGGAAAAGAACGCCAGCAAAAAACCCCUGCCUCUAACCCAACAGGAACCAAAAGCAAAAACCUUCUCUUUUAAACUGCAUUUCAAGCUAUUUUAUUUUUAUAUUUUUCAUAUUUAUAUUCACAUUCGGAUUUAUAACGUAUAUUGAUGUGUAAUUGUAUUUUUAUAAUUUCUUACAUUUAUUCCUUUAUUACAAUUUAUAUUUUUAUGCAUUGCUUAAUACAUUGCUUACAUAUUUCUAUAGAUAGAUUUCUAUUUCUAAAAGGUUUAUAUUGCUUAAAAUAAACCCCUGCCUCUAUCCAAGUAAAAAUCUUUUAAAAACCCCUUUUCUUUUAAACUACGUUUAAAUUUGUCUCUAUAUUUCGCAUUUAUAUUCAAAUUUACGUUUAAAAUGUAGAUUGAUGUAUGGUGUUAUAUGAAAGUAUAAAAUAGAAAUGAAAAUAAAUAUUCAGAAGAGAUAGAAUAGAAAAAUCUCUGCAUACAUUGAAUAUAUAUUUCUAUAUUUAGAAUGAUAUCAAAAUAAAAGGUAUAUUCAUUUUUCUUCCAUUAAAACCCUGCCUCUAACCAAAUAAAAAGCAAAAAAAAGCCCCUUCUUUAAACGAUACUUGAAUAUUUAUAUAUUGUUUUCAUCAUUAUAGUCACAUUUGCAUUUCUACUUUAUAGUGACGUAUUUAGAAAUAUAUAUCAUAUAUAUAUAUAUAUAUAUAUAUAAAGGUAGCAAGAUAGACAAAUUAUUAUUUAUAUUAUAUUUCACACAUACUGCUAAUACUUAUUUUUACUUACCUUUGAAUUUUUUAUAUAGAUCCCCAGCAACAAUAUUUAGAGUAUCUGCAAAUAAAAGACUGGGAAACAGUUAUUUUACUCCAUCAGAACUUGGGAAAGGCCAGAUUUAGAUCUCUCCAAAGGGUCAAAGCUACAUAACACCAGUUAAUACCAUUUACUGUAGAAGCUGAACUGAUUUUGGUCUACACAUAAGUUUCCUGUUUCUGCCAAACUUCUGCAUGAAUAUUAAAAGUCUGAAGAAUGACCACAAGCAGAUCACCUAAACCUACAAGCUCACUGUUUCCCAUUUUUAACCAUGCCAGGAUCUUCUCUUUUGAUCACGUGAGUGGACAUUUCCCUCUAAAACCUUCUGACCUAACCAAGAAGUCUCACCAUUACCACCGUUUCACACCAAAAGCAAAGCACCUCUGUCUGUAUCAUGCCUGCUGAUGGUGCCAGCACACAGUAUGGCCCAAGGUGUCUGCCCCAUGGAUUUCCCCGGGGUAUUCACACUUUUCCAAAGGUAGCCAGCACCUACGCUGACUCUGAAAACAAUUGCCCUUGCAAGAAGGGUCCAUGGCAGCUCGGGGCACUCGUGGUCAGCCACAGGGCCUUGACACACAGAACAGGAUAAAGGGACUUGGAGGAUUCCCACAGCUGGCCUGCACUGACAGAUAGAGCAAGUCCCUUGGGAUUGUGGAGUGAAUUCUGCCUCCCAAGGACUGCAGGCUCACAUCCACACCCAGGACUAUUCAGAAGAGCUGCAGCAAGAGCAGACAUCGGGCAGCUCAGGGUUUCUCUAAGCCCAGUCCUACAAGCCUGUGGGAGCCACAGGUAGCCAGGAAGUUCCUGAGAAAUCCAGACCCUCAGCCAGCAGCACAAAGUCCCAGAGCUGCCAAAUCAGAGAGAACUGCCUUCCACCUCUUUUCGCUCACACACUGAUGCUGAAAACUGCCAGACAGGCUAAAAGUCACUCAGGGAGAUAUAGAGGGUGUUACUGAUAAAGAGUUCUAGGGAAGCUGGAUGGCCAGCAUCCAUCAAACUAUCUUCUGGAAAUCCCAGCUGUCACAUUUCACUCCACUUUUCCCUUUAACUCAGGCUUUCCCCUUCCAGAAUCAAUUCUUCCUC
Taeniopygia guttata (zebra finch) is the source of this 3006-nucleotide non-coding RNA. NCBI's taxonomy places the organism in Eukaryota, Metazoa, Chordata, Aves, Passeriformes, Estrildidae. The record is from RefSeq and is a predicted model, not a curated record.